GUGCCAGCCGCCGCGGUACUACCGGCAGCCCGAGUGAUGGCCGAUCUUAUUGGGCCUAAAGCGUCCGUAGCUGGCUGCGCAAGUCCGUCGGGAAAUCCACUCGCCCAACGAGUGGGCGUCCGACGGAAACUGCACAGCUUGGGACCGGAAGACCCGAGGGGUACGUCCGGGGUAGGAGUGAAAUCCUGUAAUCCUGGACGGACCGCCGGUGGCGAAAGCGCCUCGGGAGGACGGACCCGACAGUGAGGGACGAAAGCCAGGGUCUCCAACCGGAUUAGAAACCCCUGUAGUCC
This 293-nucleotide ribosomal RNA is filed under the name uncultured bacterium. RNAcentral describes it as "partial 16S ribosomal RNA". It matches the Rfam family "Archaeal small subunit ribosomal RNA", at positions 455 to 747 of the family's 1478-position model. The record is from RNAcentral.